Molecule: transfer RNA, 75 nt
Filed under: Dehalococcoidia bacterium
Lineage: Bacteria; Bacillati; Chloroflexota; Dehalococcoidia
Description: tRNA-Pro
Rfam family: tRNA
About the family: Transfer RNA (tRNA) molecules are approximately 80 nucleotides in length.
Source: RNAcentral
CGGGGUGUGGCCCAGUGGUAGGGCGCCACGUUCGGGACGUGGAAGCCGGGAGUUCGAAUCUCCCCACCCCGACCA